AUGGAAAAGAAAUAUGCUAAGCCUAGACUCAUUAGAUGGGUUCUCUUGCUCCAAGAAUUUGAUUUGCAUAUUAUUGAUAGAAAGGGAGCUGAGAACCCCGUUGCAGAUAACUUGUCUAGGUUAGAGAACGUUCUUGAUGACCCACUGCCUAUUAAUGAUAGCUUUCCUGAUGAACAAUUAGCGGUUGUCAAUGCUUCUUGUACUGCUCCUUGGUAUCCUGAUUAUGCUAAUUACAUUGUUGCUAAAUAUAUACCACCUAGUUUAACAUAUCAGCAAAAGAAAAUGUUCUUUUAUGAUUUAAGACAUUACUUCUGGGAUGAUCCACACCUUUAUAAAGAAGGAGUAGAUGGUGUUAUUAGAUGUUGUGUGCCUGAGCAUGAACAGGAACAGAUCUUACGCAAGUGUCACUCUGAAUCCUAUGGAGGACACCACGCUGGAGAUUGA
Molecule: ribosomal RNA, 444 nt
Filed under: Triticum aestivum (bread wheat)
Lineage: Eukaryota; Viridiplantae; Streptophyta; Magnoliopsida; Poales; Poaceae
Description: partial small subunit ribosomal RNA
Source: RNAcentral